CCCUACCUCUCUCUCUAUUCCUCUCACUUCUCCCAAGCCCAGCCCCGACAUCCACAUAGUCACCCACCUCGCCACGACCUCCCCCUUCCCUAGCCCAUUAUUCUGAACCCGCCCCCUCUUUCCCAGCACAACCCAUCAACCCAAACCCUUAGUACACUCCUAAAAACACGGCCUCCAUCAACGACGGACUGGAUCUGGAAAUUUCUUUGCUAGCCAAAUACCAAAACAUGUAUUUACCAAUCUAGGCCAACUUGAAUAUCUCAAUCUCUCCAUUAACCAUUUCCAAGGACCACUGCCAUAAAAUUUUCCCAAUCUUAAACGCCUCCAUUUAGCAGUGAACCACUUUAGUGGCCCAAUUCUUGAAGAUAUUGGUUUGAUAUAUGGUCUUGAGCAUAUUGACCUACUUCAAAAUCCACUUGAAGGAAAAAUUCCAUCCUCUAUAGGCCAACUCAGGGAGCUCCAAUACCUUGAUCUUCAAAACAAUUCCUUAAAUUCUUCAAUCCCUAUGCUGGGUAUGGUGAUUUAGAUGGUAGGUUUUGAUGUUUGGAUAUGUGGGUAUGGUGGUGCUGGUGGUUUAUAUGGUGGAGAGAUAUAGGAGGUGGUAGUGGGGAGUUGGAGGGGUUGGUGUGUGGUGGUUACUGGGAAAA
RNAcentral lists this long non-coding RNA (647 nucleotides) under Prunus dulcis (almond). RNAcentral's name for it is "sRNA ncRNA". Lineage: Eukaryota; Viridiplantae; Streptophyta; Magnoliopsida; Rosales; Rosaceae. The record is from RNAcentral.